GCCAGGUAUGGUGGUGUGUACCUGUAAUCCCAAACACUUGGGAGGCUGAGGUGGGAGGAUGGCUUGAGCCCAGGAGGUUGAGGGUGCAGUGAGCUAUGAUCGUGCCACUGCACUCCAGCCAGGGCUACAUAGCAAGACUCCAUCACUA
Molecule: unclassified non-coding RNA, 148 nt
Organism: Pongo abelii (Sumatran orangutan)
Lineage: Eukaryota; Metazoa; Chordata; Mammalia; Primates; Hominidae
Rfam family: Metazoan signal recognition particle RNA
About the family: The signal recognition particle (SRP) is a universally conserved ribonucleoprotein. It is involved in the co-translational targeting of proteins to membranes.
Source: Ensembl